UACGGGGGGGGCAAGCGUUGUUCGGAAUUACUGGGCGUAAAGGGCUCGUAGGUGGCCAACUAAGUCAGACGUGAAAUCCCUCAGCUUAACUGGGGAACUGCGUCUGAUACUGGAUGGCUUGAGUUUGGGAGAGGGAUGCGGAAUUCCAGGCGUAGCGGUGAAAUGCGUAGAUAUCUGGAGGAACACCGGUGGCGAAGGCGGCAUCCUGGACCAACACUGACGCUGAGGAGCGAAAGCUAGGGGAGCAAACGGG
This 253-nucleotide ribosomal RNA is filed under the name uncultured bacterium. Its description in RNAcentral is "partial 16S ribosomal RNA". It matches the Rfam family "Bacterial small subunit ribosomal RNA", at positions 524 to 776 of the family's 1533-position model. The record is from RNAcentral.